UACGUAGGGGGCGAGCGUUGUCCGGAUUUACUGGGCGUAAAGCGCGUGUAGGCGGUCGGCCAAGUCCGGGGUGAAAGGCGGGGGCUCAACCCCCGAACUGCGCUGGAAACUGGCUGGCUUGAGUGUCGGAGAGGGGAGUGGAAUUCUCGGUGUAGCGGUGAAAUGCGUAGAGAUCGAGAGGAACACCCGUGGCGAAGGCGGCUCCCUGGCCGAACACUGACGCUGAGACGCGAAAGCGCGGGGAGCGAACGGGAUUAGAUACCCCGGUAGUCCGCGCCGUAAACGAUGGUCACUAGGUGUCCGCGGUAUCGACCCCGCGGGUGCCGCAGCUAACGCAGUAAGUGACCCGCCUGGGGAGUACGGCCGCAAGGUUGAA
Molecule: ribosomal RNA, 376 nt
Filed under: uncultured bacterium
Lineage: Bacteria
Description: bacterial SSU rRNA
Rfam family: Bacterial small subunit ribosomal RNA
Source: RNAcentral